UACAGAGGGUGCGAGCGUUAAUCGGAAUUACUGGGCGUAAAGCGUGCGUAGACGGCUAUCUAAGUCGGGUGUGAAAGCCCCGGGCUCAACCUGCGAACUGCAUUCGAUACUGGGCGGCUAGAGUAUGAGAGAGGGAGGUAGAAUUCCACGUGUAGCGGUGAAAUGCGUAGAUAUGUGGAGGAAUACCGGUGGCGAAGGCGGCCUCCUGGUUCAAUACUGACGCUGAGGUGCGAAAGCGUGGGGAGCAAACAGG
RNAcentral lists this ribosomal RNA (253 nucleotides) under uncultured bacterium. RNAcentral describes it as "partial 16S ribosomal RNA". It matches the Rfam family "Bacterial small subunit ribosomal RNA", at positions 524 to 776 of the family's 1533-position model. The record is from RNAcentral.